UUUGGCCCUUUUCUGUAUAUUAAUAGUGCGACAAUUAGCUUUCAAGUUAAUGAUAGUGCAGCUGGAACAUUUUUGACAUACUCUGGUAUAACAAAAUUUCAUUAGUUGGUGAAACCAUUUAGUACAGAUGGAUUUAGGGGUGGAUCUAGAGGGGCGGGAUGGUGUUCACUAGAAACCCCUCGGUAAAAAAAUACACUGUAUGUAACGUUCUAUGUUUUGAAGAGGAUCUUGCUACAGAAGAAACUACUACUACUGUAAUAUUGUUGGAUCAAACAUUUCAAUACUCAAUAUUCCUCCUAUAUAAUUUCCUCAUAUUCCUCCAAUGAAUUGCCUGCCUACAAAAGCUGAUUUCAUUGAAGCCAAACAUGUUCAUGAACAGCUGUGUUCAAUGAUCAAGAGGAACUGGAUUGGUUUGCUCUAGUUUUUAUCCUCAUUUAUUGUUUCAACUCUUGGUUUUGUUAAUUUAGCGUUGGUCAUCAAGGCUGUUUACGGGGGUAGCAAUGAAUCCAAUAUAUGAACUGGCCAAUGCAAAUAUAAUGAAUUGCAGGAAACCAUUGAUUCUUAAUAUAAUGAACUGCAGAAAACCAUUAAUUACUGUGAACAACUCUUUUAUGCUGCACGGACAGCUUGAAGUUAGACUAGCUUCUUGCAGAUCUUGCAUUUCAGUUAGUGCGUUGAAAGUUGACAUUAAGGAUUUUGUAGCCUUCCCCUCCUAUCAAUUUCUUGUUGGUACAUAAAUGUUCAUGUAGAUGAAAAAAGUUACACCCA
Molecule: long non-coding RNA, 768 nt
Organism: Lycium ferocissimum
Lineage: Eukaryota; Viridiplantae; Streptophyta; Magnoliopsida; Solanales; Solanaceae
Exons: 2
Source: RefSeq, a predicted model, not a curated record